AACUGUAAUGUUUUUCCCUCAAAACUUUUGUGCCAUAAGAUGAGUCGGCGGCUGAUUAGUUUGUUGGUGAGGUAAUGGCUCACCCAGACUAAAAUCAGUAGGGGGAGUGAGAGCUCUAGCCCCGAGAAGGGCACUGAGAUACUGGCCCUAGUCCUAAGGGAUGCAGCAGUCGCGAAAACUUUACAAUACACGAAAGUGUGAUAAGGGAAUUCCAAGUGUUUAUCUAACGAUAAACUUUUGCCAAGUACAAAUAGCUUGGAGAAUAAGUGGUGGGAAAGACCGGUGCCAGCCGCCGCGGUAACACCGGCGCCACAAGUGGGGAUCAUAUUUAUUGGGUCUAAAGCGUUUGUAGCUGGUUCAACAAAUCUCCUGUGAAAUUGUUAAGCUUAACUUAACAAAUUGCAAGAGAGACUGUUAAACUUGAGACCAGGAGGGGAUAAGAGUAUUCCAAGGGGAGCGGUAAAAUGUUAUAAUCCUUGGAAGACUACCAAUGGCGAAGGCACUUAUCCAGAAUGGGUCUGACAGUGAGAAACGAAGGCUAGGAUAACGAAAAGGAUUAGAUAUGGGAAAAAAUAACAAUUUCCUACUAAAAACCCUAGUAGCCCUAGCAGUAAACGCUGUGAGUUAGGUGUUGUAUAGUCUUAGGGAUUAUGCAGUGCCGUAGAGAAGUCGUUAAACUCACCACCUGGGAAGUAUGAUCGCAAGAUUGAAACUUAAAGGAAUUGGCGGGGGCGCACCACAAGGAGUGAAGCGUGCGGUUUAAUUGGAUUCUACGCCGAAAAUCUCACCAGAAGCGACGGCAGAAUGAAGGUCAGAUUAAAGGUUUUACCUAACAAGCCGAGAGAUAGUGCAUGGCCGCCGUCAGUUCGUGCUGUGAGGUGUCCUGUUAAGUCAGGUAACGAACAAGACCUAUAUUCACUUUUGCCACCAUCUCAUUUUUGAGGAAUGGGCACAAUAUGAAGACUGCUUAGGAAACUAAGAGGAAGGUAUAGGCAACGGUAGGUCAGUAUGCUUCGAAUCUUCUGGGCUACACGCGCACAACAAUGGUAGGGACAAUUGGAUGCAACUCUGAAAAGAGAAGCCAACCCCACAAACCCUAUCUUAGUCUAGAUUGAGUGUUGUAAUUCAUACUCAUGACAACGGAAUUCCUAGUAAUCGGUCCUCAACAUAGACCGGUGAAUAUGUCCCUGUGCCUUGCACACACCGCCCGUCAUCCCAGCCGAGCAGGAUUUAGAUAAGACUUAAUUAAUUGAUUAAUUCAAAUCUAGGUU
RNAcentral lists this ribosomal RNA (1271 nucleotides) under uncultured archaeon. RNAcentral's name for it is "bacterial SSU rRNA". It matches the Rfam family "Archaeal small subunit ribosomal RNA", at positions 168 to 1415 of the family's 1478-position model. The record is from RNAcentral.